RNAcentral lists this ribosomal RNA (429 nucleotides) under Chloroflexota bacterium. Its description in RNAcentral is "Chloroflexi bacterium partial 16S ribosomal RNA". It matches the Rfam family "Bacterial small subunit ribosomal RNA", at positions 355 to 776 of the family's 1533-position model. Lineage: Bacteria; Bacillati; Chloroflexota. The record is from RNAcentral.
UGGGGAAUAUUGCACAAUGGGCGCAAGCCUGAUGCAGCCAUGCCGCGUGUGUGAAGAAGGCCUUCGGGUUGUAAAGCACUUUCAGCGGGGAGGAAGGCGAUAAGGUUAAUAACCUUGUCGAUUGACGUUACCCGCAGAAGAAGCACCAGCUAACUCCGUGCCAGCAGCCGCGGUAAUACGGAGGGUGCAAGCGUUAAUCGGAAUUACUGGGCGUAAAGCGCACGCAGGCGGUCUGUCAAGUCGGAUGUGAAAUCCCCGGGCUCAACCUGGGAACUGCAUUCGAAACUGGCAGGCUAGAGUCUUGUAGAGGGGGGUAGAAUUCCAGGUGUAGCGGUGAAAUGCGUAGAGAUCUGGAGGAAUACCGGUGGCGAAGGCGGCCCCCUGGACAAAGACUGACGCUCAGGUGCGAAAGCGUGGGGAGCAAACAGG